RNAcentral lists this ribosomal RNA (2903 nucleotides) under Salmonella bongori N268-08. RNAcentral describes it as "bacterial LSU rRNA". It matches the Rfam family "Bacterial large subunit ribosomal RNA". Lineage: Bacteria; Pseudomonadati; Pseudomonadota; Gammaproteobacteria; Enterobacterales; Enterobacteriaceae. The record is from RNAcentral.
GGUUAAGCGACCAAGCGUACACGGUGGAUGCCCUGGCAGUCAGAGGCGAUGAAGGACGUGCUAAUCUGCGAAAAGCGCCGGCGAGGUGAUAUGAACCCUUGACCCGGCGAUGUCCGAAUGGGGAAACCCAGUGUGACUCGUCACACUAUCAUUAACUGAAUCCAUAGGUUAAUGAGGCGAACCGGGGGAACUGAAACAUCUAAGUACCCCGAGGAAAAGAAAUCAACCGAGAUUCCCCCAGUAGCGGCGAGCGAACGGGGAGGAGCCCAGAGCCUGAAUCAGCAGGUGUGUUAGUGGAAGUGUCUGGAAAGGCGCGCGAUACAGGGUGAGAGCCCCGUACACGAAAAUGCACCUGCUGUGAGCUCGAUGAGUAGGGCGGGACACGUGGUAUCCUGUCUGAAUAUGGGGGGACCAUCCUCCAAGGCUAAAUACUCCUGACUGACCGAUAGUGAACCAGUACCGUGAGGGAAAGGCGAAAAGAACCCCGGCGAGGGGAGUGAAAAAGAACCUGAAACCGUGUACGUACAAGCAGUGGGAGCACCCUUUGGGGUGUGACUGCGUACCUUUUGUAUAAUGGGUCAGCGACUUAUAUUCUGUAGCAAGGUUAACCGUAUAGGGGAGCCGGAGGGAAACCGAGUCUUAAUUGGGCGUUAAGUUGCAGGGUAUAGACCCGAAACCCGGUGAUCUAGCCAUGGGCAGGUUGAAGGUUGGGUAACACUAACUGGAGGACCGAACCGACUAAUGUUGAAAAAUUAGCGGAUGACCUGUGGCUGGGGGUGAAAGGCCAAUCAAACCGGGAGAUAGCUGGUUCUCCCCGAAAGCUAUUUAGGUAGCGCCUCGUGAAUUCAUCUCCGGGGGUAGAGCACUGUUUCGGCUAGGGGGCCAUCCCGGCUUACCAACCCGAUGCAAACUGCGAAUACCGGAGAAUGUUAUCACGGGAGACACACGGCGGGUGCUAACGUCCGUCGUGAAGAGGGAAACAACCCAGACCGCCAGCUAAGGUCCCAAAGUCAUGGUUAAGUGGGAAACGAUGUGGGAAGGCCCAGACAGCCAGGAUGUUGGCUUAGAAGCAGCCAUCAUUUAAAGAAAGCGUAAUAGCUCACUGGUCGAGUCGGCCUGCGCGGAAGAUGUAACGGGGCUAAACCAUGCACCGAAGCUGCGGCAGCGGCACGCAAGUGUUGUUGGGUAGGGGAGCGUUCUGUAAGCCGCUGAAGGUGUGCUGUGAGGCAUGCUGGAGGUAUCAGAAGUGCGAAUGCUGACAUAAGUAACGAUAAAGCGGGUGAAAAGCCCGCUCGCCGGAAGACCAAGGGUUCCUGUCCAACGUUAAUCGGGGCAGGGUGAGUCGACCCCUAAGGCGAGGCCGAAAGGCGUAGUCGAUGGGAAACGGGUUAAUAUUCCCGUACUUGGUGUUACUGCGAAGGGGGGACGGAGAAGGCUAUGUUGGCCGGGCGACGGUUGUCCCGGUUUAAGCGUGUAGGCUGGUUUUCCAGGCAAAUCCGGAAAAUCAAGGCUGAGGCGUGACGACGAGGCACCACGGUGCUGAAGCAACAAAUGCCCUGCUUCCAGGAAAAGCCUCUAAGCGUCAGGUAACAUCAAAUCGUACCCCAAACCGACACAGGUGGUCAGGUAGAGAAUACCAAGGCGCUUGAGAGAACUCGGGUGAAGGAACUAGGCAAAAUGGUGCCGUAACUUCGGGAGAAGGCACGCUGACAUGUAGGUGAAGCGGUUUACCCGUGGAGCUGAAGUCAGUCGAAGAUACCAGCUGGCUGCAACUGUUUAUUAAAAACACAGCACUGUGCAAACACGAAAGUGGACGUAUACGGUGUGACGCCUGCCCGGUGCCGGAAGGUUAAUUGAUGGGGUCAGCGCAAGCGAAGCUCCUGAUCGAAGCCCCGGUAAACGGCGGCCGUAACUAUAACGGUCCUAAGGUAGCGAAAUUCCUUGUCGGGUAAGUUCCGACCUGCACGAAUGGCGUAAUGAUGGCCAGGCUGUCUCCACCCGAGACUCAGUGAAAUUGAACUCGCUGUGAAGAUGCAGUGUACCCGCGGCAAGACGGAAAGACCCCGUGAACCUUUACUAUAGCUUGACACUGAACACUGGUCCUUGAUGUGCAGGAUAGGUGGGAGGCUUUGAAGCGUGGACGCCAGUCUGCGUGGAGCCGUCCUUGAAAUACCACCCUUUAAUGGCUGGUGUUCUAACGUGGGCCCCUGACCGGGGUUGCGGACAGUGUCUGGUGGGUAGUUUGACUGGGGCGGUCUCCUCCCAAAGAGUAACGGAGGAGCACGAAGGUUGGCUAAUCCUGGUCGGACAUCAGGAGGUUAGUGCAAUGGCAUAAGCCAGCUUGACUGCGAGCGUGACGGCGCGAGCAGGUGCGAAAGCAGGUCAUAGUGAUCCGGUGGUUCUGAAUGGAAGGGCCAUCGCUCAACGGAUAAAAGGUACUCCGGGGAUAACAGGCUGAUACCGCCCAAGAGUUCAUAUCGACGGCGGUGUUUGGCACCUCGAUGUCGGCUCAUCACAUCCUGGGGCUGAAGUAGGUCCCAAGGGUAUGGCUGUUCGCCAUUUAAAGUGGUACGCGAGCUGGGUUUAGAACGUCGUGAGACAGUUCGGUCCCUAUCUGCCGUGGGCGCUGGAAGAUUGAGGGGGGCUGCUCCUAGUACGAGAGGACCGGAGUGGACGCAUCACUGGUGUUCGGGUUGUCAUGCCAAUGGCACUGCCCGGUAGCUAAAUGCGGAAGAGAUAAGUGCUGAAAGCAUCUAAGCACGAAACUUGCCCCGAGAUGAAUCUUCCCUGAGACUUUAAGUCUCCUGAAGGAACGUUGAAGACGACGACGUUGAUAGGCCGGGUGUGUAAGCGCAGCGAUGCGUUGAGCUAACCGGUACUAAUGAACCGUGAGGCUUAACCUU